Molecule: RNA transcript, 4530 nt
Organism: Ipomoea nil (Japanese morning glory)
Lineage: Eukaryota; Viridiplantae; Streptophyta; Magnoliopsida; Solanales; Convolvulaceae
Gene name: disease resistance protein TAO1-like
Exons: 7
Source: RefSeq, a predicted model, not a curated record
UAGUAUCCGACGAACUACUAAUCAUACACUAAGCAACCUCUACCGUUUUCAUAGCCAUCAUGGAAUCCACUUCCCAAACUAAUCAACUCAUUCUUCACUCUUCUUCCUCUUCACUUCCGCGCAAGAAUUAUGAUGUCUUUUUGAGCUUUAGAGGUGAAGACACACGAAAAUCCUUUACGGAUCAUCUCUUUGCGGCACUGUGCCGGGCUGGAGUUUACACUUUCAGAGAUGCAGAAGAGCUCCGCAAAGGAGAGGACAUCUCCACUGACCUCUUUAGUGCUAUUCAAGAAUCGAUGGUUUCUAUCAUCGUGUUCUCCAAAACAUAUGCUUCCUCUCGCUGGUGUCUUGAGGAGGUUGUGAAGAUAGUGGAAUGUAAAGAAAAGGCAAAGCAGGUGGUUCUUCCAGUGUUCUAUGAUGUGGAUCCUUCUGAGGUCCGCAAUCAAACGGGUGAGUUUGGUGUUGCAUUGGCUCUACAUCAACAACGAUUCGGGACAGAAAAAGUUAGCCAAUGGAAAACAACAUUAACUAAGGUUGCAAAUUUUUCUGGAUGGGACUUACGCAACAUUGCUGACGGGUAUGAAUCAACAUUUAUUGACAAUAUUGUAGAAAAUGUUCUACAAGUAGUGAACCCUACAUACUUUGAUGUCCCAAAAUAUCUAGUUGGAAUUCAUGCUCGUGUUAAAGAAGUACUUUCUUUAUUAAAAAGUGAAGCAGAUGGUGAUGUUCGUAUGAUUGGGAUUUAUGGCAUGGGCGGGGUAGGAAAAACAACCCUAGCAAAAGCUGUAUUUAACCAAAUUUAUAGAUCAUUUGAUGGUAGUUGCUUUCUUGGAGAUGUUAGACAAGAAUGUGUAGAUAGAGGGUGUGUAGGAUUACAACAUUUGCAAGAGAAGCUUCUUUCUGAAACUCUCAAUGGAAAGAGAUUGAAAGUUGAUCAUGUUGAUCAAGGAAUUAGUUUGAUCAAAAGAAGACUUGGACUGAAAAAAGUUUUCAUUGUUGUUGAUGAUGUAGAGGAUAAGAGUCAAUUAGACGCAUUGGUUGGAGAACGAGAUUGGUUUGGUCCAGGUAGUAGAAUUAUCAUCACAACUAGAAAUGUUGAUUUUUUAAAUGGCCUUAGAAGAGAUUGUGAGAAGUAUAAUGUUGAAGUCUUAAGUCUUGAGGAAUCUUUGCAACUCUUUAGUUGGCAUGCUUUUAAGAAGCCAAGUCCGGAGGAGGCUUUUAUGGAACUAUCAAACAUGAUAGUAAGUUAUGUUAGUGGACUCCCUUUGGCACUUACCACUCUAGGCUCACAUUUUUGGACAAGAUCAUCAAUUCAAGAAUGGAUAGAUGACUUUGAGAAGUUAAGAAGGAUUCCUCAUAAUGAUAUUUUUAAUAUUCUUAAAAUUAGUUAUGAUGCACUUGAUGAUGAUACUCAAAGAAUUUUCCUUGAUAUUGCUUGUUUUUUCACCCAUGAGAAAGGAUAUAUUAUUGAGAUAUUGAAUGGUUGUGGUUUCUAUGCUCAAAGUGGAAUUCGAACUUUAAUUGGUAGAUACUUGUUAGAAAAAAGUCUUAGUAUGCAUGAUUUAGUUCGAGAUAUGGGAAGAGAAAUUGUUCGCAAGGAAUCUCCUAUGCAGCCUGAAAAAAGAAGUAGAUUAUUUUUGGCUGAUGAAGUUUCGGAUGUUCUCACAAACAACAAGGGCACAGACGCAAUUGAAACAAUGAUCAUAAAAUUGUCAAACGAAGUGCCUUUGAGUUCCAAGGUAUUCUCAAAAAUGACUAAGUUAAGAGCACUCAAAAUCUUAGACAUGAAUGUCAAGGGAUCUUUGAAAUACUUGUCCAAGGAGCUUAGAUUUCUUUAUUGGCAUGGUUGCCUGUUGAGUCGCAUAUCAUCCGAUCUUUGCUUGGAAAAACUGGUUAUCUUAAAAAUACAAGAGAGCAAUAUUAAAGAAUUUCAACCCAAAUUGCAGAAUUUUAGGUGCUUACAGAGUUUAUGGUUGGAAUCUUGCAAGAAACUUAAAAGAGCUCCAAACUUUGUUGGAGCACAUAGUCUAAAGGAGUUAUACAUUGAUGGUUGUUCAAAGUUGGUUAAAUUGCCAAAAUCAAUAGGAGACUUAAAAAAUCUUAAUUCCUUAUAUUUGAAGGGCUGCAAGAAUCUCAAUGCCCUUCGUAGUAGCAUUUGCAACUUGAAGUCUCUUAAGCUUCUUGUUCUGCAAGGGUGUUCUAAGAUAAAAGAAUUGCCGCAAUCAAUUGGAGAUUUAGAAAACCUUGUUGCGUUAUAUUUGAGUAAUUGCAAGAAUCUCAAUGUGCUUCCUAGUAGCAUUUGCAACUUGAAGUCUCUUACACGUCUUAAUUUGGAAAGUUGUUCCAAGGUAAAAGAAUUGCCGCAAUCAAUUGGAGAUUUAGAAAACCUUGUUGAGUUAUGUUUGAGUAAUUGCGAGGAUCUCAAUGGGCUUCCUGAUAGCAUUUGCAACUUGAAGUCUCUUAAGGAUUUUGUUCUGCAUGGGUGUUCCAAGAUAAAAGAAUUGCCUCAAUCAAUUGGAGAUUUAGAAAAUCUUAUUGAGUUAAAUUUGAGUAAUUGCAAGGAUCUCAAUGCGCUUCCUAGUAGCAUUUGCAACUUGAAGUCUCUUACGCAUCUUGAUCUGAAAUGGUGUUCCAAGAUAAAAGAAUUGCCGCAAUCAAUUGGAGAUUUAGAAAACCUUGUUGGGUUAUAUUUGAGUAAUUGCGAGGAUCUCAAUGGGCUUCCUGAUAGCAUUUGCAACUUGAAGUCUCUUAAGGAUUUUGUUCUGCGUGGGUGUUCCAAGAUAAAAGAAUUGCCCCAAUCAAUUGGAGAUUUAGAAAAUCUUGUCAUGUUAAAUUUGAGUAAUUGCAAGGAUCUCAAUGCGCUUCCUAGUAGCAUUUGCAACUUGAAGUCUCUUACGCAUCUUAUUUUGCAAAAUUGUUUGAAGAUAAAAGAAUUGCCUAUUGACUUGGGAAAAUUGAAGUUGCUAAAUUUCCAUGAUGCAAGUAUGACGUCCGUGACAUAUGUAUCCACUUCUUGUGGAUCUUUGAGACAUCUCAAGUGUCUGAAACUAGUGCCGCACCAUUCCGCUGUUGGUGGGCAUUAUAAUGAGAGAUGUAUUGGGCAUUUGGAAUUUCCAAACACUAAUUUAUUAUGUUCCUAUGAAAUGCUAAGUGCUCCUUACCAGUACAUGCAACAUUUAGAUCUUAAAAUUGGUGAUGAGAGAUUAUCCUUAUUGACAUGGUUAGAUCUAAGCUAUAGUGACUUUGAUACCCUGCCCUUUAACCUUUCUCAUCUUUCCAAUCUACAAGGCCUUCAUUUGGGCAACUGUCCCAACCUUUCGGUGAUUAAAGACGAUGAUCUUCCACUUAGCCUAUAUAGUUUCACAGUAUAUAAUUGUCCCUUGUUGAAAAGUAUACAAGAUGUAUCUGGGUUAUUAAGGCUAGAGGAAUUGUAUCUUGGCGGGUGUAGUAAUUUGAAUGAGGUUGUAGGCGUUGAGAAUCUGGUUAAUUUAAAAGAUAUGAACAUAAGAGGGUGUAGCGCUCUGAGCAGUAAAUAUUGGUGUGACAACUGGUUCAAGGCACUUUUUAAAAGGCCAACCCUUACUGGAUGGGUUAGAAUGCGUGUUUCAAAAGAUAUGGUUCCACAAUACUGGCGGAGGAGCAAGCAAGUAGAUGGAGUUGGAGUUGGAGUUGAAGGACGUGGACGUUCAUGGAAGAAUAAACGGAUAUUUAUCGUUGUGAUGGUUUCAUGUUUGCUUGACCCUUGGAUUUUAUACCAACAAGAGACGAAUGGAAGAUAUGGAAUAGUGUAUGGUUCUAAGGACUUGGGAUGCUGUGUAUAUGAGCUACCCAAUAAAGUGGAAGAAGGAGAGGUGUUGAUAGAGUUUUGUCCAAAAGAUGCUGAAGAGAACUCAAGUGUUGAGACGUGUAUAGUAUAUGAAGAAGAGGGUGAGGUAUGCUUCUUUCCUAUCAACCCAAACAAGGUGCUCAAAUUCCAACCCCCUACUUUUGGCUUUGUCCCUCAACGCUGGAGAAGUGUCCCGUCCAUCCAAGACCGCAACAUUGUCGAGGUUAUUCUAACACGCCGUUAGCUCAGCUCACUCUUCACAACCUAACCUUGAGUAACUCUUUAGGCUUUGUCCCUCAACAAUCUUUGCAAUCCAACGCCGCUUCCAAAGCUCAGCUCAGAUGUUGCUGCUGCAAGGCUUUAGGGUGAUUGGUCGAACGAACUGAGCUAGCUUGGCAGAGAGAUUCAAUAUGGUUUCUUAAGAGAUGAGAAGAAGAGAGAUGAAGGGUGUGGAUGUAAAUGCAGUAGGAGAUGGUCUGGUUUUUGGGGUGUAAUUUUCCGUGUACAUUUGUGAAAAUGGUGUAUGUAGGAUAGCUCUCAUACACCGUUCAGAAAGAUGGGACUCAAAGUGUGUAGCUGAUACAUAGGAAUAUGUUAGUAGUAAAUUACUAGUUUGCAGGUAUCUUACAUUUACUACUCAAUUGAUUAACUGAUUUUAGGGUUGUGCAGCAUUUUUAAUCUCUUCUAUAUAGUCUUGUUGGCUUGUA